GAUGAACGCUGGCGGCGUGCCUAAUACAUGCCAGUCGAGCGAACGGACGAGAAGCUUGCUUCUCUGAUGUUAGCGGCGGACGGGUGAGUAACACGUGGAUAACCUACCUAUAAGACUGGGAUAACUUCGGGAAACCGGAGCUAAUACCGGAUAAUAUUUUGAACCGCAUGGUUCAAAAGUGAAAGACGGUCUUGCUGUCACUUAUAGAUGGAUCCGCGCUGCAUUAGCUAGUUGGUAAGGUAACGGCUUACCAAGGCAACGAUGCAUAGCCGACCUGAGAGGGUGAUCGGCCACACUGGAACUGAGACACGGUCCAGACUCCUAAGGGAGGCAGCAGUAGGGAAUCUUCCGCAAUGGGCGAAAGCCUGACGGAGCAACGCCGCGUGAGUGAUGAAGGUCUUCGGAUCGUAAAACUCUGUUAUUAGGGAAGAACAUAUGUGUAAGUAACUGUGCACAUCUUGACGGUACCUAAUCAGAAAGCCACGGCUAACUACGUG
This 497-nucleotide ribosomal RNA is filed under the name uncultured bacterium. RNAcentral's name for it is "partial 16S ribosomal RNA". It matches the Rfam family "Bacterial small subunit ribosomal RNA", at positions 28 to 507 of the family's 1533-position model. The record is from RNAcentral.